CCUACGGGAGGCAGCAGUGGGGAAUAUUGGACAAUGGGGGGAACCCUGAUCCAGCCAUGCCGCGUGUGUGAAGAAGGCCCUCGGGUUGUAAAGCACUUUCAGUGAGGAAGAACGCCUGGUGGUUAAUACCCAUCAGGAAAGACAUCACUCACAGAAGAAGCACCGGCUAACUCCGUGCCAGCAGCCGCGGUAAUACGGAGGGUGCGAGCGUUAAUCGGAAUUACUGGGCGUAAAGCGCGCGUAGGUGGCUUGAUAAGCCGGUUGUGAAAGCCCCGGGCUCAACCUGGGAACGGCAUCCGGAACUGUCAAGCUAGAGUGCAGGAGAGGAAGGUAGAAUUCCCGGUGUAGCGGUGAAAUGCGUAGAGAUCGGAGGAAUACCAGUGGCGAAGGCGGCCUUCUGGACUGACACUGACACUGAGGUGCGAAAGCGUGGGUAGCAAACAGGAUUAGAUACCCGUGUAGUC
RNAcentral lists this ribosomal RNA (464 nucleotides) under Vreelandella stevensii. RNAcentral describes it as "partial 16S ribosomal RNA". It matches the Rfam family "Bacterial small subunit ribosomal RNA", at positions 338 to 795 of the family's 1533-position model. The record is from RNAcentral. Lineage: Bacteria; Pseudomonadati; Pseudomonadota; Gammaproteobacteria; Oceanospirillales; Halomonadaceae.